UCCACUGAGACUGCAGGCACUGUUGAAAUGGAAGGAAAAGGAGAAGGAAUGAGAGGAACAGGAAUGAUCUAGAGUCUGAUUAAUAUCGCCACCAAUUUCUGUAUAAGAAGCAGUAAUUUUCUGUUUUUUGAUGCCAAUUGCCUGAAUGUUGCCUGUUCCAACCGAUAAACAUCACAGUAUCUCCCUGGAGUGAGCCUCUCAUGUCAAGUGCUUGUGGGUGUUUCUGAAGACAGAGUGUGGAACUUUCUUGAACUUUCCAGAGUGAAAAGUGGAAGACCAGGUCGGAUGGUCUGUGUUGAAGACCUGCCUGUUGCGCUGCCUGGAUGAUCUUUAUCAAGCAACCCUCAUCUUUCUAGAUCCCAGGUUAAAUAUGCUUAAAAUGGUGAAGCUGAGCUGAUCUCCAAUUUCCCUUCUGGUCCGAAAACUCCAAUAUUACAACCAUGGAACCAUUCACCAUCCCAGCCCGUUUUUCCUUGAUCCUGAACCCAGCUAACCAUGCCAGAGCCCUGUUCUAAUUCAAUUGCAUACUUUUGCACCUGCUGAAUCCUAAACUCAAUCGUUCCCGUGACCGCAGGACCAUAGGGCAUGGGUUGGGGACCGAACGCUGAGUGCCAAGGAGAAAAAGUGAAGAAGACCCUGACGUUGGCCAGCUUGUAGUAAAAGCUUGCAGCAGGAAAGUUAACCAGGGAAGA
This is a non-coding RNA of Ictidomys tridecemlineatus (thirteen-lined ground squirrel), 692 nucleotides long. The record is from RefSeq and is a predicted model, not a curated record. Lineage: Eukaryota; Metazoa; Chordata; Mammalia; Rodentia; Sciuridae.